UAUCUGGUUGAUUCUGCCAGUAGUCAUAUGCUUGUCUCAAAGAUUAAGCCAUGCAUGUCUAAGUAUAAGCAAUUUAUACGGUGAAACUGCGAAUGGCUCAUUAAAUCAGUUAUCGUUUAUUUGAUAGUACCUUACUACAUGGAUACCUGUGGUAAUUCUAGAGCUAAUACAUGCUAAAAACCUCGACUUCGGAAGGGGUGUAUUUAUUAGAUAAAAAACCAAUGCCCUUCGGGGCUCCUUGGUGAAUCAUAAUAACUUAACGAAUCGCAUGGCCUUGCGCCGGCGAUGGUUCAUUCAAAUUUCUGCCCUAUCAACUUUCGAUGGUAGGAUAGUGGCCUACCAUGGUGGCAACGGGUAACGGGGAAUUAGGGUUCGAUUCCGGAGAGGGAGCCUGAGAAACGGCUACCACAUCCAAGGAAGGCAGCAGGCGCGCAAAUUACCCAAUCCCGACACGGGGAGGUAGUGACAAUAAAUACUGAUACGGGGCUCUUUUGGGUCUCGUAAUUGGAAUGAGUACAAUCUAAAUCCCUUAACGAGGAACAAUUGGAGGGCAAGUCUGGUGCCAGCAGCCGCGGUAAUUCCAGCUCCAAUAGCGUAUAUUAAAGUUGUUGCAGUUAAAAAGCUCGUAGUUGAACCUUGGGUCUGGCUGGCCGGUCCGCCUCACCGCGAGUACUGGUCCGGCUGGACCUUUCCUUCUGGGGAACCUCAUGGCCUUCACUGGCUGUGGGGG
Ribosomal RNA from Aspergillus udagawae, 730 nucleotides. The record is from RefSeq and is a predicted model, not a curated record. Lineage: Eukaryota; Fungi; Ascomycota; Eurotiomycetes; Eurotiales; Aspergillaceae.